Oxyura jamaicensis (ruddy duck) is the source of this 668-nucleotide long non-coding RNA. RefSeq lists it as uncharacterized. Lineage: Eukaryota; Metazoa; Chordata; Aves; Anseriformes; Anatidae. The transcript is spliced from 2 exons. The record is from RefSeq and is a predicted model, not a curated record.
GCAUUCAAUCAUCAUCAGGGGGCUCAAUACUCCUGCACACGGACGCAAUACCACGAGUGCCCCCGCGAUGAAGGCCAAGAAAUGACUGAUCGUGCCACCCCUGACAGCCAGAAGUGUGCUGGGGAAGAAGACGGCCUCUGAGCGGCACAGCUCCCCUGGUGUGCCGCAAGAGUGUCCCUGCAGAUUUGGGAAGCAACUCCUUGAUUUUGGGGUCGGGCAGGGCUGAAGGUGCUGGGGACCAAAGAAAAGUGAGAGACCCAAAGCAGUGAGAGACUGUGUCGCUGAUACCUUCUGCUUCUCACGUGGAGAAGGAGCUGCCAGUUAACCCAAAGUGCAAAGCGUCUAGCUAAAGGUGAGAUGACUACACACAGCACAAAGAAAUGAUGCAGUCGUCUCUUUCCUCCAGUCUGCCUUCUUCGAAAUUACUUAAAGUCUUGUAAAGAAAAGCCUCCCAGAUCCUCUACGAGCCGUAAACCUCAGGAACUGUCUGGCUUCAUUUCUGCAUAACUGUGAGGAGCUCUACAUCAGGUCUUCCAGGGUAACGGGAGAAGGAAAACAUAAUGGAAAAGGCUGAUGUAAACGUAGCUGUGUCUUCCUACACGUCUCUAUAGUUAAUACUCUCAUUAAUUAUCUCGGUAUCCAAGGGCUUAUGAAUUCAAACUAUUAUU